UAGAGGAGCCUGUUCUAGAACCGAUAACCCCCGUUCAACCUCACCACUUCUAGCCAACCCAGCCUAUAUACCGCCGUCGUCAGCUUACCCUGUGAAGGUAAUAAAAGUAAGCAAAAUGGGUACAACCCAAAACGUCAGGUCGAGGUGUAGCGCAUGGAGUGGGAAGAAAUGGGCUACAUUUUCUAACAUAGAAUAUUACGAACAUGCACCAUGAAACAGUGCUUGAAGGAGGAUUUAGUAGUAAAAGGGAAAUAGAGUGUCCCUUUGAACCCGGCUCUGAGACGCGUACACACCGCCCGUCACUCUCCCCUGUCAAAAUGCACCAAAAAUAUCUAAUAUAAUAGCACUGACAAGGGGAGGCAAGUCGUAACACGGUAAGUGUACCGGAAGGUGCACUUGGAUCAAAC
Molecule: ribosomal RNA, 407 nt
Filed under: Carassius auratus (goldfish)
Lineage: Eukaryota; Metazoa; Chordata; Actinopteri; Cypriniformes; Cyprinidae
Description: partial small subunit ribosomal RNA
Rfam family: Bacterial small subunit ribosomal RNA
Source: RNAcentral